Magallana angulata is the source of this 323-nucleotide long non-coding RNA. RefSeq lists it as uncharacterized. The transcript has 4 exons. NCBI's taxonomy places the organism in Eukaryota, Metazoa, Mollusca, Bivalvia, Ostreida, Ostreidae. The record is from RefSeq and is a predicted model, not a curated record.
GAGUUAAUGAUUACAAAUGUGUAAGAUCAGAAAAGAAAAUGCUGGAAAACAAUACGUUGAUCAAGAGAUGAGAGGUAAACCUUUUUACUCUACUGAAAAUAUCGAGAAAUUUUUACAUAUUGUAUUGGUUUAACUGGAAAUAUCAAAAGACAAGCUAAAAAAUAUGAUAAAUGGCCGCCCACACGUGAUGUCACUUCGCCACAUCCUUCAAGAAACAAGUACAAUAUCAUUUUCAUGAUAAAGCUUUAGACCUUCGUCAGACACAAGCAAUUGCGGUACAAAUGUCUUUAAUAUUUGAAUAAAUAGUUCCAUGUUUAACCCAA